RNAcentral lists this unclassified non-coding RNA (148 nucleotides) under soil metagenome. Its description in RNAcentral is "partial internal transcribed spacer 1". The record is from RNAcentral.
CCGAGUUUACAACUCCCAGACCCCUGUGAACAUACCUAUACGUUGCCUCGGCGGAUCAGCCCGCGCCCCGUAAAAAGGGACGGCCCGCCCGAGGACCCCUAAACUCUGUUUUUAGUGGAACUUCUGAGUAAAACAAACAAAUAAAUCA